GUACUAGGUGCACCUUUGUUCUCCCUUUGAUAACCACUCCCCACACUCUCGACCCCCACCAUGGAUUGUCUCCAUUGACGGCCUGACCUUUACUGCUGUGUCAACCGUGGGCUGUGGGCUUCCAGAACACCCUUAGGGAGCUGGGAGUAGAGGGACCCAAUGGGACUGGCCCAGCCCUCAAUGUGGACCUUGAGCUCCUGCUGCUGUUGACNCUGUUGGUGGGGGAAUGUAUUUUUAUUAGCCUCUUGUCCUCAAGGGGGACACCAUAAGCUACAUACUGUGGUCCUUGUACUGUUGGCACAGCAAUUGUCUUUCUGUAGCUAGGCUGUUGUACAAGUUGUGGCUUUAGGAUGGGGGGGGUGGCUAAUGUAAAUUGUUACCCGUGGGAUAAAUAUCACUCGUGGCUUAGGUUGGAGGAAUAACAGUCUUGUUUGUGUCCUGAGAGAGAUUGAAAUGCACCUCAUGCCCUGCCUCAGGUGUAUCCUUAGGCUCAUUCUGGGAAUUCUCCUACAGCCUCAGGCCAUACAGACUUUUGUCAUCGAUGGACGUCUGCCCUGUUCUCCACAUCACGAGUACCAUCAACCAAGCACUUGACAUUCCCAGUGGUUCCCGUUUCCAGAGGGUGUGCCCGGCCGCGGCCUCCCGCACGCUGUGACCCUUCAGGCAGUGGGUGCAGGUGCUCAUCGCCCAGCAGCUCUGUGUCUGCUCGCCUGUCUUCUCUGGCUCUGGUCCUUCUCCUGUGCCUGACAUUUUCUUUCUCCAGAAUUGAAUUGCUCCUGGCAGCACAUUCUCCCUAGAGCUGGUGUCAUCUGAGACUCCUGGCCAACCUCCUGUGGGUCCCCAGUGCCAGCCAGAGCCACUGCAGGUGUCCUGGGUCCCUGAGGGCUGUCGCGUAGCUGCACAGACCUCCAGGUGGCUGCACAGGCAGCAGAGGAGGAACCCUGCUGGUCGUGUUGAUGAGAGAUUGCUUUCCAGAUGCGCGGUUGGUGGUCAGCCAAACGUAGGGGACAGAGAAGUCCUGCUAAGGACAGCUGACAGCAAGCCCUUUGGGCCGAGGUGAUGGUUUGGGUGGUUCUUCCCCUUCCCACACCCCAGUGUUCAUCUGGGAAGAGCUUCUGUGACCUCACUGGGGUAGGAGGGCAGCUGGGUCCCUGGGGCUGCAGGGAGGAGUGGCCAGUGAGAGGUCUUCUGGCACAGCUGCUGGGGGCAGGGGUGGGAAAGACCCUCCAAGGCUUUGGCAGGACCAACAUGGGCCCAGGCAGAGGCCCAGGGGACAAGCAUAAGAGGGACCCAGAUGCCACACAACCACUUGGGCUCUUGUCUUGUUGCUGCCCCUCACCUGGACUGCCGUGCCAGGAACCAGAGCUGAGUGUGGCCAUGGGAGCCCACAUGGGCAUCGGUGAGCUGGGAGGGUGCUGUGUCAUGGUGUUUGUAGGCAGUGACCAGGGUCAGAGGGAGGUGAGGAGACCAGGCUGCAGUCAGCCCUCUUUUGAAGGCCCUCACUAGGACGACAGCCCCUGAGGGGGACAGUAACACUUGGAGAACAGAGGCUUCCAGUCACCUCUGCCACCCAGGCACAUCCGACCUGUCUUCCCAAGCAGCCAGCAGCUCGGGCUGUGAACAGCCACUGACACAGCCCUCUGUGCACCAAGUGUGAAGAUACCCUCCUGUGCACUCAACCGUGUGCUCUGCUGAGCUCCGGNCUUUACUAUAAAUUAGUGCAAAUUCUG
This 1730-nucleotide long non-coding RNA is filed under the name Marmota monax (woodchuck). The record is from RNAcentral. Lineage: Eukaryota; Metazoa; Chordata; Mammalia; Rodentia; Sciuridae.